AUGUUUGCUGCCUUCCGGCACGCGAAUGGCUCCUUCGCCCUUGGCCGGAACGCGCAGCUCAUCGACGGCUACAUGGCACAGCUGCAAGAAAUGGAGGCGGUGCUGGUUCAAAGGCGGAAGGAGGAGAAUCAAGAAAAGAACCACGAACAAUCUUCAGGGGGUGAAGAAGAGGCGGUGUGGGAGCUCCUGGCGGAGUUCUGGUCAGAGAUGAUACUCUACCUCGCGCCGUCGGACAACGUCAAGGGCCACGUUGAGGCACUGCAGCGUGGCGGUGAGCUCAUUACGCUGCUGUGGGCACUGCUCCUGCACGCCAGCAUCACCACCAGGCCUGCUCCCACCGUCCCCGAGCCUUGA
This 354-nucleotide ribosomal RNA is filed under the name Triticum aestivum (bread wheat). Its description in RNAcentral is "partial small subunit ribosomal RNA". The record is from RNAcentral. Lineage: Eukaryota; Viridiplantae; Streptophyta; Magnoliopsida; Poales; Poaceae.